Molecule: non-coding RNA, 647 nt
Organism: Tetranychus urticae (two-spotted spider mite)
Lineage: Eukaryota; Metazoa; Arthropoda; Arachnida; Trombidiformes; Tetranychidae
Source: RefSeq, a predicted model, not a curated record
UUUCAAUCGACCUGCUUUACGGCAGAUUUUAUUCGGAUCUAAAACAAGUUUCAUUCCCGUACUGCCGUGUAAAUAUACAAGAAAAAAGGGAAAGAAAAGAAGACAAAGAUGAAGGUAACAAUGUUAAGGUCAAUCUCUUACACUUCCCUUUAAAAUUGAAGUAUUUAUUGAGAAAUUGAAUCAGAUCAUGCAUCAAUCAUUUAGUAUUUCAUUUGGUCAAUUGAGAUGGUAACAACUCUUCAGAAGUGUUUGGAGCAAUGGAAUCGGAUGACAGGUUAACUUAAUUGGCCAAUCACUUGUUGAACAAAAUAAAAGAACUAAAUUUGCUCAAAUUGAGGGUAAAUCGAUUUGCAGGAAAAGUAAUCCUUUUGUUUGUUUUCAAUCAACCUUUCAUGUUGUUUGGACAACAAAGCAAGUAUAUGUAUUUGCUUAUCGCCACUUAGGUGCUCUAAAGUUUUAAAUUGGUUUCAAGUUAAAAUAUCAAAAAAAGGAGAAGGGAAACAAACUGAUUUUCAAUUGAAGAAACGAAAUGAUGGAAUGUCAAUAUGGAAAUGGAGUGAUGUUCGCGUGAUACCAGCUAUAAUCACGCAAAUGUUGAUUCAACAUCGCACCAUUAUCAUUGAUGAAUGAUCAAAGGCCAACGAAAC